RNAcentral lists this ribosomal RNA (253 nucleotides) under uncultured bacterium. Its description in RNAcentral is "partial 16S ribosomal RNA". It matches the Rfam family "Bacterial small subunit ribosomal RNA", at positions 524 to 776 of the family's 1533-position model. The record is from RNAcentral.
UACGGAGGGGGCUAGCGUUGUUCGGAAUUACUGGGCGUAAAGGGCGUGUAGGCGGCGCGGUAAGUCAGGCGUGAAAGCCCCGGGCUCAACCUGGGAAUUGCGCUUGUUACUGCCGUGCUCGAGUCCGGGAGAGGAUAGCGGAAUUCCCAGUGUAGAGGUGAAAUUCGUAGAUAUUGGGAAGAACACCAGUGGCGAAGGCGACUAUCUGGACCGGCACUGACGCUGAGGCGUGAAAGCGUGGGGAGGAAACAGG